ACGAAGGGUGCAAGCGUUAUUCGGAAUCACUGGGCGUAAAGGGUGCGUAGACGGUAUGUUAAGUUUGUUGUUAAAGGCUCCGGCCUAACUGGAGUAUUGCGAUGAAAACUGGCGUGCUAGAGGGUGAGAGAGAGAAGUGGAAUUCCCGGAGUAGCGGUAAAAUGCGUGGAUCUCGGGAGGAACACCAAUGGCGAAGGCAGCUUCUUGGCUCAUUCCUGACGUUGAGGCACGAAAGCGUGGGGAGCAAACAGG
This 252-nucleotide ribosomal RNA is filed under the name uncultured bacterium. RNAcentral describes it as "partial 16S ribosomal RNA". It matches the Rfam family "Bacterial small subunit ribosomal RNA", at positions 525 to 776 of the family's 1533-position model. The record is from RNAcentral.